GACGAACGCUGGCGGCGUGCUUAACACAUGCAAGUCGAACGGAAAGGCCCUGCUUGCCGGGUACUCGAGUGGCGAACGGGUGAGUAACACGUGGGUGAUCUACCCUGCACUUCGGGAUAAGCCUGGGAAACUGGGUCUAAUACCGGAUAGGAGCCAUUUUUAGUGUGAUGGUUGGAAAGUUUUUUCGGUGUAGGAUGAGCUCGCGGCCUAUCAGCUUGUUGGUGGGGUAAUGGCCUACCAAGGCGGCGACGGGUAGCCGGCCUGAGAGGGUGGACGGCCACAUUGGGACUGAGAUACGGCCCAGACUCCUACGGGAGGCAGCAGUGGGGAAUAUUGCACAAUGGGCGCAAGCCUGAUGCAGCGACGCCGCGUGGGGGAUGACGGCCUUCGGGUUGUAAACUCCCUUCGCUAGGGACGAAGCUUUUUGUGACGGCACCUAGAUAAGAAGCACCGGCUAACUACGUG
Molecule: ribosomal RNA, 465 nt
Filed under: uncultured bacterium
Lineage: Bacteria
Description: partial 16S ribosomal RNA
Rfam family: Bacterial small subunit ribosomal RNA
Source: RNAcentral